UGGGGAAUAUUGCACAAUGGGCGCAAGCCUGAUGCAGCCAUGCCGCGUGUAUGAAGAAGGCCUUCGGGUUGUAAAGUACUUUCAGCGGGGAGGAAGGGAGUAAAGUUAAUACCUUUACUCAUUGACGUUACCCGCAGAAGAAGCACCGGCUAACUCCGUGCCAGCAGCCGCGGUAAUACGGAGGGUGCAAGCAUUAAUCGGAAUUACUGGGCGUAAAGCGCACGCAGGCGGUUUGUUAAGUCAGAUGUGAAAUCCCCGGGCUCAACCUGGGAACUGCAUCUGAUACUGGCAAGCUUGAGGCUCGUAGAGGGGGGUAGAAUUCCAGGUGUAGCGGUGAAAUGCGUAGAGAUCUGGAGGAAUACCGGUGGCGAAGGCGGCCCCCUGGACGAAGACUGACGCUCAGGUGCGAAAGCGUGGGGAGCAAACAGG
Molecule: ribosomal RNA, 429 nt
Filed under: Chloroflexota bacterium
Lineage: Bacteria; Bacillati; Chloroflexota
Description: Chloroflexi bacterium partial 16S ribosomal RNA
Rfam family: Bacterial small subunit ribosomal RNA
Source: RNAcentral